RNAcentral lists this ribosomal RNA (1295 nucleotides) under metagenome. RNAcentral describes it as "bacterial LSU rRNA". It matches the Rfam family "Bacterial large subunit ribosomal RNA", at positions 1611 to 2925 of the family's 2925-position model. The record is from RNAcentral.
AAAAAAGCCGCUAUUGUGUACCAUGUGCCCGUACUGUAAACCGACACAGGUGGAUGAGGAGAGAAUCCUAAGGCCGGCGGGAGAAGCAUUGUUAAGGAACUCGGCAAAAUGACCCCGUAACUUCGGGAUAAGGGGUGCCAGAGAGAUCUGGCCGCAGAGAAUAGGCUCAAGCAACUGUUUAGCAAAAACACAGGUCUAUGCGAAACCGUAAGGUGAUGUAUAUGGGCUGACGCCUGCCCGGUGCUGGAAGGUUAAGAGGAGAGGUUAGAGCAAUCGAAGCUUUGAAUUGAAGCCCCAGUAAACGGCGGCCGUAACAAUAACGGUCCUAAGGUAGCGAAAUUCCUUGUCGGGUAAGUUCCGACCCGCACGAAAGGCGUAAUGAUUUGAGCGCUGUCUCGACAAUGCACCCGGUGAAAUUGAAAUACCAGUGAAGAUGCUGGUUACCUGCGCCAGGACGGAAAGACCCCAUGGAGCUUUACUCCAGCUUGAUACUGGGAUUCGGUAAUGCAUGCACAGGAUAGGUGGGAGGCUACGAGUACGGAACUCCGGUUUCGUAUGAGCCGCUGUUGGGAUACCACCCUUGCGUUACUGGGUUUCUAACCAUGGUCCAUGAUCUGGAUCGGGGACGAUGUCAGGUGGGGAGUUUGACUGGGGCGGUCGCCUCCGAAAGGGUAUCGGAGGCGCUCAAAGGUUCCCUCAGAAUGGUUGGAAACCAUUCGAAGAGUGCAAAGGCAGAAGGGAGCUUGACUGCGAGACCGACGGGUCGAGCAGGUAGGAAACUAGGACUUAGUGAUCCGGUGGUAUGAAAGUGGGAUUGCCAUCGCUCAACGGAUAAAAGCUACCCUGGGAUAACAGGCUUAUCACUCCCAAGAGUUCACAUCGACGGAGUGGUUUGGCACCUCGAUGUCGGCUCAUCGCAUCCUGGGGCUGAAGUAGGUCCCAAGGGUUGGGCUGUUCGCCCAUUAAAGCGGUACGCGAGCUGGGUUCAGAACGUCGUGAGACAGUUCGGUCCCUAUCCGGCGCAGGCGGAGGAUAUUUGAGAGGAGCUGUCCUUAGUACGAGAGGACCGGGAUGGACGGACCGCUGGUGUACCGGUUGAGCUGCUAAGCUCAGGGCCGGGUAGCCAAGUCUGGCAGGGAUAAACGCUGAAGGCAUCUAAGCGUGAAGCCCCCCUCAAGAUGAGAUAUCCCAUUCGAAAGAAGUAAGACCCCUUGAAGACGACGAGGUAGAUAGGGCAGAGGUGGAAGUGCAGUAAUGUACGGAGCUGACUGUUACUAAUCGGUCGAGGGCUUAUU